Molecule: ribosomal RNA, 433 nt
Filed under: uncultured bacterium
Lineage: Bacteria
Description: partial 16S ribosomal RNA
Rfam family: Bacterial small subunit ribosomal RNA
Source: RNAcentral
AACGAACGCUGGCGGCAUGCCUAACACAUGCAAGUCGAACGAGACAUUCGGGUUUAGUGGCGCAUGGGUGGGUAACGGGUGGGAACAUGCCUAGAGGUUCGGAAUAACGCCCGGGAUGGGGUGCGAAUACGGGCGAAUGUAUUGGGACCAAAGAUUUAUCGCCUUUGGAUGGGCGUGAGAUGGCUUAGCUAGUUGGUAGGGUAAAAGGCUACCAAGGCGACGUUCCAUAGCUGGUUUGAGAGGAUGGUCAGCCACACUGGGACUGGGACACGGUCAAGAAUACUGCGGGAUGCAGCAGUGGGGAAUAUUGGACAGUGGGCGAAAUCCUGAUCCACCUAUGCCGCGUGAGUGAUGAAGGCCUUAGGGUUGUAAAGCUCUUUUACCCGGGAUGAUAAUGACAGUACCGGGAGAAUAAGCUCCGGCUAACUCCGUG